UUGCUUUGGCAGAACAUAUACUAAAAUUGGAAUGAUACAGAGAAAAUUAGCAUGGCCUCCAUUCAAGAAUGACAUGAAAAUAUAUGGAAAAUUCCAUAUAUAA
Phodopus roborovskii (desert hamster) is the source of this 103-nucleotide small nuclear RNA. NCBI's taxonomy places the organism in Eukaryota, Metazoa, Chordata, Mammalia, Rodentia, Cricetidae. The record is from RefSeq and is a predicted model, not a curated record.